AGUCCACUUCUGCCAGGCAAACACAGACAGUUUCUAGUUGCAAGAUAUCCCCCAUGGCAGAGAAAAAAAAAAGUUUCUUCUGGGAUGCAGACAAUCCAGGAAUCAGUGAUAAUCCACUGACCUUUCUAGGAAGUAAGAGCAAAGAACAAACAGGUUAGAUUCUGAGAAGCUGUUUCUAAGUUUGAUGGUUUUUUUUUUCCUAAGCCUGAGGCACUGAGAAGGGUUCAAGCUUGUAUUCUCCAGAUGCAAGGGUGCAAAUAAAGCCCGAUUUCCACUGGCAGCUAUUAUAACCAGGAGAGGAUCCUGCCUUUGGCUAAGGCCAGCGGAAAGGAAGGCAAAUGGAGAGACACAAAGAGCCUGAAUCUUUGAGCCAUCACUCAGUUGCGAUCAAACUGCCUGGAACCCACCCCACCCCGAUCGCCUGCUCGGACAAAAAUAACUGAAGCUCCCAUUGUUCAAACCAGCUUGUGUCAUGGUUUCUGAUGUUUAUAACUAAGACCAAUUCAAACAAUACAAUAUUUUAAAUCUUUAUUAUUUUUUAAGGAAACAAUAGCUUAAGGGUAAAAACUCAUCUCUAAUUGUAAAAAAAAAUUAUCUCUAAUUGUAGGCUUUUGAAGUUAGGGUCGGUCAGUAUUUUUAGAUAGAAUCUUUCAAAACUCAGGAGAGAGACUCAGCUUAUUUCAUGUGUAUGAUGAGGAUGUCUCCUUUAUUCUUUUUCCUGCUAUCACACUUAUGCCAGGCUUUCUUUCAAAACUUAACUCACCCAGCUCCUUGUCUUUGAAGCCUUCUUUUAAUUCUUCUCCCACAUUCCCCAAAACCAAGUCAAUUCUCUCCCUCAGUGCCCUCAUGUGUAUAAAUUGCAUAUCAUAUGGCAUUUUUUUCAUGUCUGUAAGACUCCCAAUUUCCCAAAGGCGAGGUUACUGUCAUUUUCUUCUGUAUCUACAGUGACCAUCACAUGAAAAGUACUCCAUAAAGGUGUUAAGGAUGGAAUUGUGUCCCCAACCCCAAAAUUCAUGUGUUGAAGCCCUCACCCUCGAUGUGACCAUAUUUGGAGAUAGAUAGGGCCUUUAAAGAGGUAAUUAAGUUAAAUGAAGUCAAAAUAGUGGGGCCUAGUAUCAUAUGACCGAUGUCCUUAUAGGAAGAGGAGAGACACCAGGGAUGUGCACACACAGAGGGGAGUCCAUGGGAGGACGGGGCAAGAAGGUGGCUGUCCUCGAGCCAGAGAGAGGCCUCAGAAGAAACCCAACUUGCUGGCACCUUGAUCUUGAACUUUCGGCCUCCAGAACUGUGAGAAAAUAAAUUCCUGUUGUUUAAGCCACCCA
Molecule: long non-coding RNA, 1322 nt
Filed under: Homo sapiens (human)
Lineage: Eukaryota; Metazoa; Chordata; Mammalia; Primates; Hominidae
Description: HSALNT0340206
Source: RNAcentral